AAACUAACAAGGAUUCCCCUAGUAACGGCGAGUGAAGCGGGAAGAGCUCAAAUUUGAAAUCUGGUAGCCUUCGGUUGCCCGAGUUGUAAUCUAGAGAAAUGUUUUCCGUGCCGGCCCAUGUACAAGUCCCUUGGAACAGGGCGUCAUAGAGGGUGAGAAUCCCGUCCUUGACAUGGACCCCCGGUGCUUUGUGAUACAUUUUCAACGAGUCGAGUUGUUUGGGAAUGCAGCUCAAAAUGGGUGGUGAAUUCCAUCUAAAGCUAAAUAUUGGCGAGAGACCGAUAGCGAACAAGUACCGUGAGGGAAAGAUGAAAAGCACUUUGGAAAGAGAGUUAAACAGUACGUGAAAUUGUUGAAAGGGAAACGAUUGAAGUCAGUCAUGCUCUUUGGUAUUUAUAUCAUUGAGUGGGGUCAACAUCAGUUUUGAUCGAUGGAUAAAGGCACUAGGAAGGUAGCACUCUCGGGUGAACUUAUAGCCUAGCGUCAUAUACAUUGAUUGGGACUGAGGAACGCAGCAUGCCUUUAUGGCCGGGAUUCGUCCACGUACAUGCUUAGGAUGUUGACAUAAUGGCUUUAAACGAC
Molecule: ribosomal RNA, 582 nt
Filed under: Naganishia albidosimilis
Lineage: Eukaryota; Fungi; Basidiomycota; Tremellomycetes; Filobasidiales; Filobasidiaceae
Description: eukaryotic LSU rRNA
Rfam family: Eukaryotic large subunit ribosomal RNA
Source: RNAcentral